GAGAGAGAGAGAUGCUACUAUGCACUGUCUCCUUAGUGGAAUAAUUGAGUCUAGGACUUCUAUUGACAUAUGUGUGGCACAUAGGAUAUUAACAUGCAAUUACCAACUUACUUGUGUUAUUUUGUUUUAUAUGUUUGCACUUUAUUUUACAUGUUAACAGACCCUCCAUUCAAUUUCAUAUAUUUCUAUUUAUCUGGAUGGACAAUGUUAGGUUCAGUGAAGCCAGAUAACAAAAAGAUAUCCUAGGUAUGUUGAACUUGCUAUUUUACACGUUAACAGACCCUCCAUUCAAUUUCAUAUAUUUCUAUUUGGAGUGUAAAAGGCAGGAGAUCAGCUGGGGGUUUAUAAGCUGUGAGCCUGCGCUGCAUUCUUCAGUUGGCAGUUAACGUAUAAUCAGUAAAGCCACGGAGGAUCAGCAGACUCACACUCUUUUUUUCCAUCUGUUCUUUCAGAGUUUCCAGAGGACCAGAGUAAAGAGCUUGUGAGACACCAGAGAAGACAGCUGUGGAUGUGUCGCCCACCUCGAAUACUUUUGCUGGGGUUUCACAUGUCUGCUUUCGGAGUCUCUAACUCUACUUACCAAGACUGGCUUUCACACUGAAACAUAGUUUUUUCCGUACAAAGGACACACAUGGUGCUGGGUCUUUCCAUUUAUUGAAAAUUUAAUAAAUUAAUUUAGAAUUUGUAUUAAUCAGUGAUCACAUACACAGCCUGGCCUAAUAAAUGUCAGAUGUGUAACAUAGUAUGAAAAAAUAUGUGAUAUCAGUACAAACAAUUGUGAACAAGAAGUAAAAAAUCCAAGACACUUUGA
Molecule: long non-coding RNA, 811 nt
Organism: Thunnus maccoyii (southern bluefin tuna)
Lineage: Eukaryota; Metazoa; Chordata; Actinopteri; Scombriformes; Scombridae
Exons: 2
Source: RefSeq, a predicted model, not a curated record